This 266-nucleotide ribosomal RNA is filed under the name uncultured prokaryote. Its description in RNAcentral is "partial 16S ribosomal RNA". It matches the Rfam family "Bacterial small subunit ribosomal RNA", at positions 524 to 788 of the family's 1533-position model. The record is from RNAcentral.
UACGUAGGUGGCAAGCGUUAUCCGGAAUUAUUGGGCGUAAAGAGCGCGCAGGUGGUUGAUUAAGUCUGAUGUGAAAGCCCACGGCUUAACCGUGGAGGGUCAUUGGAAACUGGUCGACUUGAGUGCAGAAGAGGGAAGUGGAAUUCCAUGUGUAGCGGUGAAAUGCGUAGAGAUAUGGAGGAACACCAGUGGCGAAGGCGGCUUCCUGGUCUGUAACUGACACUGAGGCGCGAAAGCGUGGGGAGCAAACAGGAUUACGAUACCCU